UGGGAGCUUGCUCCCUGAUGUUAGCGGCGGACGGGUGAGUAACACGUGGGUAACCUGCCUGUAAGACUGGGAUAACUCCGGGAAACCGGGGCUAAUACCGGAUGGUUGUUUGAACCGCAUGGUUCAAACAUAAAAGGUGGCUUCGGCUACCACUUACAGAUGGACCCGCGGCGCAUUAUCUAGUUGGUGAGGUAACGGCUCACCAAGGCAACGAUGCGUACCCCACCUGAGAGGGUGAUCGGCCACACUGGGACUGAGACACGGCCCACACUCCUACGGGAGGCAGCAGUAGGGAAUCUUCCGCAAUGGACGAAAGUCUGACGGAGCAACGCCGCGUGAGUGAUGAAGGUUUUCGGAUCGUAAAGCUCUGUUGUUAGGGAAAAACAAGUACCGUUCGAAUAGGGCGGUACCUUGACGGUACCUAACCAGAAAGCCACGGCUAACUACGUGCCAGCAGCCGCGGUAAUACGUAGGUGGCAAGCGUUGUCCGGAAUUAUUGGGCGUAAAGGGCUCGCAGGCGGUUUCUUAAGUCUGAUGUGAAAGCCCCCGGCUCACCCGGGGAGGGUCAUUGGAAACUGGGGAACUUGAGUGCAGAAGAGGAGAGUGGAAUUCCACGUGUAGCGGUGAAAUGCGUAGAGAUGUGGAGGAACACCAGUGGCGAAGGCGACUCUCUGGUCUGUAACUGACACUGAGGAGCGAAAGCGUGGGGAGCG
This 713-nucleotide ribosomal RNA is filed under the name Bacillus stercoris. Its description in RNAcentral is "bacterial SSU rRNA". It matches the Rfam family "Bacterial small subunit ribosomal RNA", at positions 73 to 770 of the family's 1533-position model. The record is from RNAcentral. Lineage: Bacteria; Bacillati; Bacillota; Bacilli; Caryophanales; Bacillaceae.